GAAAAGAAACCAACAGGGAUUGCCCCAGUAACGGCGAGUGAAGCGGCAACAGCUCAGAUUUGGAAUCUGGCCCCCAGGGCCCGAGUUGUAAUCUGGAGAGGAUGCUUCUGGCGCGGCGCCUUCCGAGUUCCCUGGAACGGGACGCCGGAGAGGGUGAGAGCCCCGUACGGUUGGACGCCUAGCCUUUGUGAAGCUCCUUCGACGAGUCGAGUAGUUUGGGAAUGCUGCUCAAAAUGGGAGGUAAAUUUCUUCUAAAGCUAAAUACCGGCCAGAGACCGAUAGCGCACAAGUAGAGUGAUCGAAAGAUGAAAAGCACUUUGAAAAGAGGGUCAAACAGUACGUGAAAUUGUUGAAAGGGAAGCGCCCGUGGCCAGACUUGUGCCCCGCGGACCACCCGGCGCCCUCAGCGCCGGUGCACUCCGCGGGGCGCAGGCCAGCAUCGGUUUUCCUAGGGGGAUAAAGGCGGCGGGAACGUGGCUCCCUCGGGAGUGUUAUAGCCCGCCGCGCCAUGCCCCUGGGGGGACCGAGGACCGCGCUUCGGCAAGGAUGCUGGCGUAAUGG
Molecule: ribosomal RNA, 561 nt
Filed under: Grosmannia koreana
Lineage: Eukaryota; Fungi; Ascomycota; Sordariomycetes; Ophiostomatales; Ophiostomataceae
Description: eukaryotic LSU rRNA
Rfam family: Eukaryotic large subunit ribosomal RNA
Source: RNAcentral